CAUAGUUAGUGCAAGCAUACUUAGCAAUCAUUGCGAGACAAGACUACGCCCAUGCAUAGUGAUAUUAGCAAGGUAAAUGAGAAACAUAGCAAUCACUCCCCUAUAAUAAUGUUGCUCUACCAGCCCAAUACACGAGAGGGGGACUAUAUAAGAAUCAAUGAAGCUGUCACUAUCACGAACUACCCCACGAUCAAGCAUAUUGGGUACAAUCACAGAUAAAUACGGUAUAAGCACCACGCCUACACAAUAUCUAUCAUUUACCC
RNAcentral lists this long non-coding RNA (263 nucleotides) under Sorghum bicolor (sorghum). Its description in RNAcentral is "long non-coding RNA (SBIC_LNC008526)". Lineage: Eukaryota; Viridiplantae; Streptophyta; Magnoliopsida; Poales; Poaceae. The record is from RNAcentral.